GGGGGUGAAAAUGGUUUCGACUACCUGGGGAUGUUUCUUGCUGCAUGCAGACCAGCUGAAAGUCUUAAAACCUUAGCAAACUAAGAACUGACAACAGUUCACUUGCUUUUGCUGCAUAAUUUUUAUGUAGCAGGGAAAACUCUCCUUACUCCUGGGGUGAGCAUUUCCCACGAUUACAGGGGAAACUUUUUUUCCUUUUGCCUGUGGGGAAAAAAAGUAAAUAACAGGCUGGUUUGGUUCAAGUUUGCCAUUUUAUUACUUGAAUCAAAUGAGAUUGAAAAGUGGCUAAGCAUGUAGAAGUAAGUUUCAGAACCUUGUAGGACGGGAGUUCAACUCUCCCCACCUCCAAUU
This 351-nucleotide transfer-messenger RNA is filed under the name Spirochaetota. RNAcentral's name for it is "Exilispira sp012517545 Standard tmRNA". It matches the Rfam family "transfer-messenger RNA". Rfam says of the family: Bacterial tmRNA, also known as 10Sa RNA or SsrA, is named for its dual tRNA and mRNA-like properties. Its role is to liberate the mRNA from a stalled ribosome. The record is from RNAcentral. Lineage: Bacteria; Pseudomonadati. RNAcentral also lists the same sequence under 2 other names.